RNAcentral lists this ribosomal RNA (293 nucleotides) under uncultured bacterium. Its description in RNAcentral is "partial 16S ribosomal RNA". It matches the Rfam family "Archaeal small subunit ribosomal RNA", at positions 455 to 747 of the family's 1478-position model. The record is from RNAcentral.
GUGCCAGCCGCCGCGGUAAUACCGGCAGCCCAAGUGAUGGCCGCUGUUAUUGGGCCUAAAGCGUCCGUAGCUGGCCGCGCAAGUCCAUCGGGAAAUCCACCUGCUCAACAGGUGGGCGCCCGGUGGAAACUGUGCGGCUUGGGACCGGAAGGCGCGACGGGUACGUCCGGGGUAGGAGUGAAAUCCCGUAAUCCUGGACGGACCGCCGAUGGCGAAAGCACGUCGCGAGAACGGAUCCGACAGUGAGGGACGAAAGCCAGGGUCUCGAACCGGAUUAGAUACCCCAGUAGUCC